GUACCGCUGCACCCACGCUGAAUCCCCAUCCAAAAUCCAUGAAGGAAUUUAGGAUGCUAAAUCUUGAGACAAACUAAUGGGGGGGGCGGGGCCAGGAUACGGUCCUCAUUUCCCCACUUAAUGAGAAUGCUGGAAGUUUACAGCAGAGAAUGACCUGUUCCAGAUAAAUACAGACUGCAGCAGCCAGCACCCCCUAAGGGGCUUUGUAAUAUACAUCAGAUGUGUGGCCACAUCAGUCCCUGGGAAGUUCAGGGCCCACAGAUGACCCCUCAUCCUCUUCUCCCCACUCCCCCCACGCAGGGUCUUACUUUGUAGCCCCGGCUAUCCUCCUGCCUCAAGAAGCUGAGAAUUUUGUCUUGCUUUCCUUCUUUCCGUUUACGUCCACGUGCGUGUGUAUACAUGGUUACGUAUUGGCGUUGACACCUCCUACAUACAAGUCACAAUUGCCAGCCUUGGGGACACAGCAGUGCCCGUCUUCAUUGGUACUUCCAGUCUAGCGAGGAAGCAGAAUAUAAAAUUCCCACAAUGAUUAGUAACUAUUAUGACAAGCUCCGAGAAGUCCCAACUGCAGAGGCUGAGAACGAGCUGGACUUGUGGAGAAACUGCAAGCAGCUGCUAGGAGUGCUUGAGUUGCUUGGUUUAAGUUCAAAUCACUUUUAGAGAAGCUGAUUAAUCUGUACCAAAGGCUUGCAACUUCUCACCCACCUUGGGAACCUCCAACCCGAACAGCAUCCCUGGACAUCUUCAACCUAGGACUGCUAUACCUUUUUCUGCCAUCACGGCCCCUGACUGGUCCUCUGUCUCAACCAGGGCUUGCCCAGCACACAAACAGACCGGAGCUCGAUCCCCAGCACCAACCACACAAAAGCAUCCUUGAACACUGGUCUCCAGGAAGCAUUCCCUUGCACAGCUCUCUCCAACAGGCUGUUGACCCUUGAAUGUACGUGUCACUUUAUGGGUGAGUUUCUGUCUGUGUCUGCCUCCGUGUGGGAGGCUGGGAUUCCUGCCUCUCCCAUCUUACUCUGUGAGCACCACAGUCACUUGUGAUGCUUACCACGCCUGUGAAUUGCUCUCCACAGGGGGAAAAGAAAAGUUGUGGCUAGGGCCAGUGUAGGAGACACAAUGUAAAUUGACAAUGCUUGCAUAUUUGGGGACAACACGGGUUACAGGGGAAGGAUGAAGGGACAUAGAGUGUCGGGCUUGAUCUUGG
Molecule: long non-coding RNA, 1210 nt
Filed under: Cricetulus griseus (Chinese hamster)
Lineage: Eukaryota; Metazoa; Chordata; Mammalia; Rodentia; Cricetidae
Description: lncRNA (ENSCGRG00015036017.1)
Source: RNAcentral